UACGAAGGGGGCUAGCGUUGUUCGGAUUUACUGGGCGUAAAGCGCACGUAGGCGGAUCGUUAAGUCAGGGGUGAAAUCCUGGGGCUCAACCCCAGAACUGCCUUUGAUACUGGCGAUCUCGAGUCCGGAAGAGGUGAGUGGAACUCCUAGUGUAGAGGUGGAAUUCGUAGAUAUUAGGAAGAACACCAGUGGCGAAGGCGGCUCACUGGCCCGAUACUGACGCUGAGGUGCGAAAGCGUGGGGAGCAAACAGG
Molecule: ribosomal RNA, 253 nt
Filed under: uncultured bacterium
Lineage: Bacteria
Description: partial 16S ribosomal RNA
Rfam family: Bacterial small subunit ribosomal RNA
Source: RNAcentral